GGGAAUUAGCUCAGUUGGGAGAGCACUUGCUUUGCAAGCAAGGGGUCAGGGGUUCGAAUCCCCUAUUCUCC
This 71-nucleotide transfer RNA is filed under the name bovine gut metagenome. It matches the Rfam family "tRNA". Rfam says of the family: Transfer RNA (tRNA) molecules are approximately 80 nucleotides in length. Their secondary structure includes four short double-helical elements and three loops (D, anti-codon, and T loops). The record is from RNAcentral.